RNAcentral lists this small nuclear RNA (162 nucleotides) under Echinops telfairi (small Madagascar hedgehog). Its description in RNAcentral is "U1 spliceosomal RNA (ENSETEG00000022068.1)". It matches the Rfam family "U1 spliceosomal RNA". From Rfam's summary of the family: U1 is a small nuclear RNA (snRNA) component of the spliceosome (involved in pre-mRNA splicing). Its 5' end forms complementary base pairs with the 5' splice junction, thus defining the 5' donor site of an intron. Lineage: Eukaryota; Metazoa; Chordata; Mammalia; Afrosoricida; Tenrecidae. The record is from RNAcentral.
AUACUUACCUGGCAGGGGAGAUACCAUGAUCACGAAGGUGGUUUUCCCAGGGCGAGGCUCAUCCAUUGCAUUCCGAAUGUGCUGACCCCUGCGAUUUCCCCAAAUGUGGGAAACGACUGCAUAAUCUGUGGCCAUGGGCGACUGCAUCCGCGCUUUCUCCUG